RNAcentral lists this transfer RNA (86 nucleotides) under Zea mays. It matches the Rfam family "tRNA". Rfam says of the family: Transfer RNA (tRNA) molecules are approximately 80 nucleotides in length. Their secondary structure includes four short double-helical elements and three loops (D, anti-codon, and T loops). Further hydrogen bonds mediate the characteristic L-shaped molecular structure. tRNAs have two regions of fundamental functional importance: the anti-codon, which is responsible for specific mRNA codon recognition, and the 3' end, to which the tRNAs corresponding amino acid is attached (by aminoacyl-tRNA synthetases). tRNAs cope with the degeneracy of the genetic code in two manners: having more than one tRNA (with a specific anti-codon) for a particular amino acid; and 'wobble' base-pairing, i.e. permitting non-standard base-pairing at the 3rd anti-codon position. Lineage: Eukaryota; Viridiplantae; Streptophyta; Magnoliopsida; Poales; Poaceae. The record is from Rfam by way of RNAcentral.
GGAGAGAUGGUUGAGUGGACUAAAGCGACAGAUUCCUAAUCUGUUGUGCAUUUUUUGUAUCGAGGUUCCGAAUCCCUCUUGUUUUG